Molecule: transfer RNA, 69 nt
Filed under: Rattus norvegicus (Norway rat)
Lineage: Eukaryota; Metazoa; Chordata; Mammalia; Rodentia; Muridae
Rfam family: tRNA
About the family: Transfer RNA (tRNA) molecules are approximately 80 nucleotides in length. Their secondary structure includes four short double-helical elements and three loops (D, anti-codon, and T loops).
Source: Rfam by way of RNAcentral
GGGGAUUUAGCUUAGUGGUAGAGCACUUGCCUAGCAAGCACAAGGCCCUGGGUUCGGUCCCCAGCUCUG